RNAcentral lists this ribosomal RNA (248 nucleotides) under uncultured Muribaculaceae bacterium. RNAcentral describes it as "partial 16S ribosomal RNA". It matches the Rfam family "Bacterial small subunit ribosomal RNA", at positions 524 to 772 of the family's 1533-position model. The record is from RNAcentral. Lineage: Bacteria; Pseudomonadati; Bacteroidota; Bacteroidia; Bacteroidales; Muribaculaceae.
UACGUAGGGAGCGAGCGUUAUCCGGAUUUAUUGGGUGUAAAGCGUGCGUAGGCGGUUUAUUAGGUCUAAGGUUUAAGCCCGGAGCUCAACUCCGGUUCGCCUUAGAAACCGGUUUACUUGAGUAUGGUAGAGGCAAGUGGAAUUUCUAGUGUAGCGGUAAAAUGCGUAGAUAUUAGAAGGAACACCAGUGGCGAAGGCGACUUGCUGGGCCAUCACUGACGCUGAGGCACGAAAGCGUGGGGAGCAAA